Molecule: ribosomal RNA, 443 nt
Filed under: Anomisma abnorme
Lineage: Eukaryota; Metazoa; Arthropoda; Insecta; Odonata; Coenagrionidae
Description: partial 16S ribosomal RNA
Rfam family: Archaeal large subunit ribosomal RNA
Source: RNAcentral
CGCGGUAUAUUGACCGUGCAAAGGUAGCAUAAUCAUUAGUCUUUUAAUAGAAGACUGGUAUGAAAGGUUUAACGAAACAUAAACUGUCUUUAUUUUAAAUUUAUAAUUUAACUUUUGAGUUAAAAGGCUUAAAUUUUAUUGGAGGACGAGAAGACCCUAUAGAGCUUUACAUUAUUUUUUUUAUGUUAUUUUGUUGAAUGAUAUAACAUUUUAUAUAUUGUUGUUUUGUUGGGGUGGCAAAUAAUAUUUAAUUAACUUUAAUUGUUUACUUACAUUAAUUUGUGUAUAAUUAGAUCCAUUAAUAUUGAUUGAUAGAUUAAGUUACCUUAGGGAUAACAGCGUAAUCUUCUUUUGGAGAUCGAAUUUAUAAGAAGGAUUGCGACCUCGAUGUUGGAUUAAGAUUAUAAUUGGGUGUAGUAGCUUAUAUUAUAGGUCUGUUCGAC